This 495-nucleotide ribosomal RNA is filed under the name uncultured bacterium. RNAcentral describes it as "partial 16S ribosomal RNA". It matches the Rfam family "Bacterial small subunit ribosomal RNA", at positions 28 to 507 of the family's 1533-position model. The record is from RNAcentral.
GACGAACGCUGGCGGCGCGCCUAAUACAUGCAAGUAGAACGCUGAAGGAGGAGCUUGCUUCUCUGGAUGAGUUGCGAACGGGUGAGUAACGCGUAGGUAACCUGCCUGGUAGCGGGGGAUAACUAUUGGAAACGAUAGCUAAUACCGCAUAAUAUUGACUAUUGCAUGAUAGUCAGUUGAAAGGUGCAACUGCACCACUACCAGAUGGACCUGCGUUGUAUUAGCUAGUUGGUGGGGUAACGGCUCACCAAGGCGACGAUACAUAGCCGACCUGAGAGGGUGAUCGGCCACACUGGGACUGAGACACGGCCCAGACUCCUACGGGAGGCAGCAGUAGGGAAUCUUCGGCAAUGGACGGAAGUCUGACCGAGCAACGCCGCGUGAGUGAAGAAGGUUUUCGGAUCGUAAAGCUCUGUUGUAAGAGAAGAACGAGUGUGAGAGUGGAAAGCUCACACUGUGACGGUAUCUUACCAGAAAGGGACGGCUAACUACGUG